UAGGGAAUCUUCCGCAAUGGACGCAAGUCUGACGGAGCAACGCCGCGUGAGUGAAGAAGGAUUUCGGUUCGUAAAACUCUGUUGUUAGAGAAGAACAGCGCAUAGAGUAACUGUUAUGCGUGUGACGGUAUCUAACCAGAAAGCCACGGCUAACUACGUGCCUGCAGCCGCGGUAAUACGUAGGUGGCAAGCGUUGUCCGGAUUUAUUGGGCGUAAAGCGAGCGCAGGCGGUCAAUUAAGUCUGAUGUGAAAGCCCCCGGCUCAACCGGGGAGGGUCAUUGGAAACUGGUUGACUUGAGUGCAGAAGAGGAGAGUGGAAUUCCAUGUGUAGCGGUGAAAUGCGUAGAUAUAUGGAGGAACACCAGUGGCGAAGGCGACUCUCUGGUCUGUAACUGACGCUGAGGUUCGAAAGCGUGGGUAGCAAACAGG
This 429-nucleotide ribosomal RNA is filed under the name Bacteroidota bacterium. RNAcentral describes it as "Bacteroidetes bacterium partial 16S ribosomal RNA". It matches the Rfam family "Bacterial small subunit ribosomal RNA", at positions 355 to 776 of the family's 1533-position model. Lineage: Bacteria; Pseudomonadati; Bacteroidota. The record is from RNAcentral.